UACGGAGGGUGCGAGCGUUGUUCGGAAUCACUGGGCGUAAAGGGCAUGUAGGCGGUCCGCUAAGUCUGAUGUGAAAGCCCGGGGCUCACCCCCGGAAGUGCAUUGGAAACUGGCGGACUCGAGUCCCGGAGAGGAGGGUGGAAUUCCUGGUGUAGCGGUGAAAUGCGUAGAUAUCAGGAGGAACACCGGUGGCGAAGGCGGCCCUCUGGACGGUGACUGACGCUGAGACGCGAAAGCGUGGGGAGCAAACAGG
Molecule: ribosomal RNA, 253 nt
Filed under: uncultured bacterium
Lineage: Bacteria
Description: partial 16S ribosomal RNA
Rfam family: Bacterial small subunit ribosomal RNA
Source: RNAcentral